Long non-coding RNA from Mirounga angustirostris (Northern elephant seal), 1465 nucleotides. RefSeq lists it as uncharacterized. Lineage: Eukaryota; Metazoa; Chordata; Mammalia; Carnivora; Phocidae. The record is from RefSeq and is a predicted model, not a curated record. The transcript is spliced from 4 exons.
GAAAACCCAGUAGGAAAAUGGAGAAGAGAUUUGAAAAGAUAACUUCUCAGAAGAGGAAACAUGACCCAGAAAUCCCAUAUCUAGGCAUAUAACCCCGAGAGAAUCUCCUUUCUGGUUGGAGGGAAUGAUUGCUGUGGUGAAGCUCACAAGGGUAGAUGACAAGCUUGAAUUCUGGAGAGAACAGUAAAACCAGAAAAGUAAAUGAAUUCCCUAAGAAAACCACAUCAAACAGAUACUGUUGUUUCCUUCAAAGCAGUUACACUGAUUUAUCCUCCCACAGAUAGAGAUUUGGUAAGAGUCUGGCUUUAUUUUGAAGUACAGAAAUCAUGUGGAGCCAUUCGAGACAGACAUCACUGAAGUGCACGCUCUGUCAAAUCAAUACUGCAUCGCAGCUUGGUCCAGUCAAGAAGCCACACUUGGGAUACAAAAGAAGCUUCUACGUUUACCUGCUAUACCACAGGUUUCUUUCCCCCUUGCUCUCAUCAGUUUUAUCAGGUGACAAUUGUGAAUAAAGCUGCUAUAAAUACUUGUGUGCAGACUUUUGUGAAGAUAAAAAUUUUCAGUUCAUUUGGGUAAAUAUAGAGCAGCACAACUGCUGGAUCAUAUGGUUAAGAGUGUGUUUGAUUUUUUUUUAAAUUAUGUUAAUCACCAUACAUUACAUCAUUAGUUUUUGAGGUAGUGUUCCAUGAUUCAUUGUUUGUGUAUAACACCCAGUGCUCCAUACAGAAUGUGCCCUCUUUAAUACCCAUCACCAGGUUAACCCAUCCUCCCACCCCCCUCCCCUCUAGAAACCUCAGUUUGUUUCUCAGAGUCCAUAGUCUCUCAUGGUUUGUCUCCCCCUCUGAUUUCCCGCCCUUCAUUCUUCCCCUCUUGCUAUCUUCUCCUUCUUCUUCUUCUUUUUUUAACAUAUACUGUAUUAUUUGUUUCAGAGGUAUAGGUCUGUGAUUCAACAGUCUUACACAAUUCACAGCGCUCACCAUAGCACAUACCCUCCCCAAUGUCUAUCACCCAGCCGCCCCAUCCCUUCCACCCCCCACCACUCCAGCAACCCUCAGUUUUUUUCCUGAGAUUAAGAAUUCCUCAUAUCAGUGAGGUCAUAUGAUACAUGUCUUUCUCUGAUUGACUUAUUUUGCUCAGCAUAACACCCUCCAGUUCUAUCCACGUCGUUGCAAAUGGCAAGCUAUCAUUCCUUUUGAUGGCUGCAUAAUAUUCCAUUGUAUAUAUAUACCACAUCUUCUUUAUCCAUUCAUCUAUUGAUGGACAUCUUGGCUCUUUCCACAGUUUGGCUGUUGUGUUUGAUUUUGAAAGACACUGCCAAAGUGUUUUUCAGAGUGGCUAUACAAUCUUGCAUUUUCAGUAGCAAUGAAUAGAAGUUCCUGUUGCUCCACAUCCUCACCGAGAUUUGAUGUCAGUGUUUUGGAUUUUAAUCAUUCUAAUAUGUGUGUAGUGGAAUUUAAUUUUUUAA